Molecule: long non-coding RNA, 1503 nt
Organism: Numida meleagris (helmeted guineafowl)
Lineage: Eukaryota; Metazoa; Chordata; Aves; Galliformes; Numididae
Exons: 3
Source: RefSeq, a predicted model, not a curated record
AGCCACAGUCCGCCUUUUCAGAGCCUCGAAGGCUUCGUUGAUCUUCUUCAGCCUCCUCCGCUCCCGCAGCGUGGCCGCUUUCCGCCGUUUCUUCACUGCUUCUCUGGAGGUGUUUGGAAUGAGAUGGAGAUUAGAUCAAUUUACUGAACCAGGGCUCUUCAUGGAAAACUGGAGGGACAGAGGAGUGGAGUUUGGAAACUGUGAAGAUACAGUGAAGAUUAUGGAUGUGUAAAGCUCCCUUCCCAGCAGUAACGUAGGCAUUGCUAAAACAGCACAUCGCAAAACCAUGAGGUGGUUAUGUUGAAAUUAGCCCAUUUUAUACAGAAAUUGUAUUAAGCUGUUUCAUUAUUGAUUGCCAGAUACUCUUUGACAUAUGGAUGUGCCAAUUUAAUGAGCUAUUUGAUUACAUGACUAAUAUAAAGUUAAUCAGCUGUAGUCAAAUGUAGGCAUUGCUUGAUCCGACUUAAUUCUUGGUGCUGCAUUAAUGCAGUCCUUAAUUAUUCCAUGCACACGUGGAAUUAAAAUGCAUAAACAUCUGAAAUGAGAAUAUCUUAAGAUAGUUCUCUUUCCAAAAUGCAAACAAAAUACUGGAAGUAAUGCAAUCCUGUGAUUGUCUUGUAGAUUUCUCCAUUCCUCAUGAAGUAAUAUACAUUUUCUGUCAUCUGUAAUUUCAAAUUUUUGUUCAUUAUAUUUUGAGUAUUGUUCUGUCUUUGUAGACAAACAAUUUAGCUCAUAAGUGUUGAUUUCUCCAUUAUUUGUCUUUUGAGAUUUUGCUCUCCAUUUUCUUCUGCUUUCCUCUACCCACAUUGCUGUCACCUGAACAAAUAAAGUUUGUCUCACAUACAUUAUUACUGCUUGCUGGAGUUCCUUUGGUGGAUGCGUCAGUCUUCUGAUAGUGUCUGGUAAGUAUAGAAUGAUGUUUUCCUGUCCUGCCAUGUUUCUGGCCUUGCAGACAUCAUUGCUACUCCCAGGCAUUCCCUUCCAAAUUCUUUCUUAGGUACAACAAUUGGCUUUGCUGGGUCAUUCUCAGCUUUGGAGCACAGGUAUGCUUAGAUACAAAGCAUGUUUUCCAGGGCUGGGUUUUGCGGUUCACAAGGUGAUCUCAGUUUUACCUCUAAAUGUGAGCUAGUCCGUUCCAAGGCCCAGGUAUUGUUAUAUUUAAUCCUUUCCAGUAGAUAUUUGUUCUUGUGUCUAUAAAGAGCUCUUUCCCACCCUCAGAGAAAUGAAGUUUUAGUUUACAUCUUUGCUUAUUUAAGAUUUAUUCUAGACAUUCCAUACUUUUUUAACUGGUAUUUGUUGCUAGCUAUUUAUAUACUCCUGCUAUUGUCAUCUUACUGCUAUCAUCCGAAUUUCCAUAAAUAUGUUGCUGACUGAUUUGAAUGUUAUGUUCACAGCUUGUACUUCGGGUACUCCGACAUGUGACCAUUUCCUUUCCAAGUGUCAGUCAUCUUCUGUUCUCUCUGUAACUUUUCACAAGUCUUCUGCUUGCUGUGCAUCCAAAUA